This 463-nucleotide ribosomal RNA is filed under the name uncultured bacterium. RNAcentral describes it as "partial 16S ribosomal RNA". It matches the Rfam family "Bacterial small subunit ribosomal RNA", at positions 28 to 507 of the family's 1533-position model. The record is from RNAcentral.
GAUGAACGCUGACAGAAUGCUUAACACAUGCAAGUCGAUGGGGAAGUGGUGCUUGCCCCAUGGCAACCAUGGCGGACGGGUGAGUAACGCGUAAGGGACUUACCUGCAGGACUGGGAUAACAGGGGGAAACUCCUGACAAGACCGGAUAAUGUCAUGGAGCUGCAUGGCUUUAUGAUGAAAGGAGACGCCUGCGGAGAGCCUUGCGUCCUAUUAGCUAGUUGGUGAGGUAAUGGCUCACCAAGGCGAAGAUAGGUAGCCGGCCUGAGAGGGUGGACGGCCACAAGGGGACUGAGAUACGGCCCUUACUCCUACGGGAGGCAGCAGUGGGGAAUAUUGGACAAUGGGGGCAACCCUGAUCCAGCAAUUCUGUGUGCACGAAGAAGGUUUUCGGAUUGUAAAGUGAUUUCAGCAGGGAAGAAGUAAGUGACGGUACCUGCAGAAGAAGCGACGGCUAAAUACGUG